CCUACGGGAGGCAGCAGUAGGGAAUCUUUCACAAUGGGCGAAAGCCUGAUGGAGCAACGCCGCGUGCAGGAUGAAGGCCUUCGGGUUGUAAACUGCUUUUAUAAGCGAGAAAUAUGAUGGUAACUUAUGAAUAAGGAUCGGCUAACUACGUGCCAGCAGCCGCGGUCAUACGUAGGAGCCGAGCAUUAUCCGGAGUGACUGGGUGUAAAGAGUUGCGUAGGUGGCAUAAUAAGUAGCUAGUGAAAUCGGGUGGCUCAACCAUUCAGACUAUUAGCUAAACUGUUACGCUCGAGACCGUUAGGGGUAACUGGAAUUUCUAGUGUAGGAGUGAAAUCCGUAGAUAUUAGAAGGAACACCAAUAGCGUAGGCAGGUUACUGGGACGGUUCUGACACUAAGGCACGAAAGCGUAGGGAGCAAACGGGAUUAGAUACCCCAGUAGUC
RNAcentral lists this ribosomal RNA (442 nucleotides) under uncultured bacterium. RNAcentral's name for it is "partial 16S ribosomal RNA". It matches the Rfam family "Bacterial small subunit ribosomal RNA", at positions 338 to 795 of the family's 1533-position model. The record is from RNAcentral.